This 268-nucleotide unclassified non-coding RNA is filed under the name uncultured bacterium. RNAcentral describes it as "contains 16S-23S intergenic spacer region". The record is from RNAcentral.
UGAACGGCCGGCACCCCUUGAUGCAUCGUGGGUAGUCGAUUCUCGAUCGCCAACUCCCCAAUCCGGACGCGGAAUGGGGUGAACGGCGGAUCGUUCACAACAAGCAUCGCGUCAAAGUGCAGGCGGCAGAAGCAGUGGAGGGCGCGCCGACAUCUCUCUCGACCAAACCACCACUUGAUAAGGCACGAGACUCGCUGACCAGCCUACACGGCAAAAUGCAAACUCGCCGAGUCCGGCGGUGCACCGUCGGCGAUAAUCCGCUCCAGGA